GUGGUUCUCAUUUAAACAACACACAUACUAAAAUUGGACCAAAAGAGGUAUUGGCAUGGCUUCUGUGCAAGAAUGACACACAAAUUCAUGAAGUGUUUCAUAUUUUU
Vombatus ursinus (common wombat) is the source of this 107-nucleotide small nuclear RNA. NCBI's taxonomy places the organism in Eukaryota, Metazoa, Chordata, Mammalia, Diprotodontia, Vombatidae. The record is from Ensembl.